CGCGAUCGUGACAGACACGCAUACUUUACGCAACUCGAAACAAAAAACGAGCAAAGGCUGGAAGAAAACGAAAAGCAAAAAAAAAGAAGCGAACCACGCAUUCUCACUGGCACACUCACUCGCUUUUUUCGUUCCAACCCUCCCCUCCUCCCUCCGUUCAAACGGUUUGAAGACGUCUCUUAACAGUUGUUUGUGCUUGUACAUAUAUACAUACAUACAUAUAUACACAUAUACAUAUAUGUAUAUAUAUAUAUAUAUAUAUAUACAUAUUCACUCUCGCUCCCUUGCACAUCUCUUCUUCGCCCGUCAACAAUGCGCCGCACAGAGACGUGAUGCUCUGCUGAGAGAACUACAGAAUGUAAAAGCUCUGCUCUUUAACUUCUUUUCAGUUUUUUUUUUUGCCUUUUUUGUGUUGUGUCGUGUUUGUGUGUGCGCUCGAGUCUCCUCUGUACAGCUGAUCUGUCGGAUCCGGGAGACCUAUGCGUGUAGGCGCUGGUGGGCUUUGGUGAUGGCGGCGUUGUCCAUUUUUUUCUCCCUUGUCUCUUCUCAAGAAGACAGAUUUGCCGACGAGCACGGGCGCUGACUGAAGGCGAUCAAGUAGAAGAUGAGCAGGCAAGCGGCUAAACCUGUUGCUGUUGCCGUUCUUGCUGAUCGUGUCUUUUUUUCUCCCUCUCUCGCGCCCUUAUCUGUCAUUUUGUUCUUUUAUGUGCACUCUCGCUCUCCCACGACUCACGUGUGCGCCCCUUUUGUCUUCUGUUGUGUUUUCUGUGAAAUUCGUCGCCUGUUUUUUUUUUGUUCUUCGUUUCGGUCCUUUCCCAGUGUUCUGUGCGCUUCCCACUACCACCGCCUCUCCCCCUCUCUCUCGCUCUCUGGGAAGGGAUGGGGGCCUCGGUGGGUGUAGAGAACCGCAGCCCGAUGUGGUUUAUUUUGCUCUCCUUUCCUGUCCUCUUUUCCAUGUUUGCGUGCCGUUGCUUCGUUCGCCUUUUCCUCCAGCGAUGGCGUGCCACCGCGUGCGUAUACGUGUGUCUUCUUCGUCAGCGUCAACACCGUCUUGCGCAAGUUUGAGUGCAUGUCGGACAGGCGUGCGAGAAGACGCAGAGCACGACUUCAGCACAUACGAAGAACGGAAGGAAAAGGGGGAAGAACCCCUUCCCCCAGAAAAAAAAAAAACAGCAACACUCCGGCACUUACGCGCACCCCUUUCCUGCUCUGCAGGCCUUUCACAAGACCGAUUACUUCAUGGAUUCGCUUACGUUGAACUGAGUCUUGACAGCGCCGAAAAAACGAACCAAAAAAGAGUAAACGAAGAGGGAAGCUGCGGCAACGUUGGAGGUGCGCGAUCAGUGGUGCCGAUGGUGGUCGGAGCGGACAGAAUGGACGAGUACAUGGGGGAGUCCAAGUCUUCUCUCAGCUUCUCCGCCCCUCCGCCCCUCCUCCCCUUCUCCACUCCCCUCAGUCUGUUAUUCACCUGCACAUCUUCUCUGUUGGACCUGCUUGUUUAACAAUAACGUCCACGUGCGGAAACAAGAGAAAGAUGUCAUGCUGCGUUACAUGCGCCGCUUCUUGUGUGCAUGCAUUGACUACUGCUAAGAGCGAUAAGGAAGAAAAAGGGAAAAGGUGAGCCUAAACAGGAAAAGUCUCGACAAGAAUGAAGCAAUAUGGAAAACGCUCAGCAAACACUGCGUCGAGGGCUCAUUCAUUCCCGAUCCAGUGUCUUUCUUCGAUGCUGUUUUACUGAGCUUCUGGAUCUCUUUCUGCUUCUCUCUUGUCUAUGCUCUCUCCUCCCUAUGUGUCCUCUUCGUUGACCUGGAUGUUUUGGAGGGGUGCCCACCUCCCCUUUCACUUCGAAACAAAAG
RNAcentral lists this unclassified non-coding RNA (1856 nucleotides) under Leishmania donovani. RNAcentral describes it as "gene:unknown". Lineage: Eukaryota; Euglenozoa; Kinetoplastea; Trypanosomatida; Trypanosomatidae. The record is from RNAcentral.